GCCUACGGGGCGCAGCAGUGGGGGAUAUUGCACAAUGGGGGAAACCCUGAUGCAGCGACGCCGCGUGAGUGAAGAAGUAUUUCGGUAUGUAAAGCUCUAUCAGCAGGGAAGAAAAUGACAGUACCUGACCAAGAAGCCCCGGCUAACUACGUGCCAGCAGCCGCGGUAAUACGUAGGGGGCAAGCGUUAUCCGGAUUUACUGGGUGUAAAGGGCGUGUAGCCGGGCCGGCAAGUCAGAUGUGAAAUCCCAAGGCUCAACCUUGGAACUGCAUUUGAAACUGUUGGUCUUGAGUAUCGGAGAGGCA
This 305-nucleotide ribosomal RNA is filed under the name uncultured bacterium. Its description in RNAcentral is "bacterial SSU rRNA". It matches the Rfam family "Bacterial small subunit ribosomal RNA", at positions 337 to 659 of the family's 1533-position model. The record is from RNAcentral.